GGCCGCGUGGCCUAAUGGCUAAGGCGCUAGAUUUCGGUCUCCAUUUUCUGAACUCUCUAGAGAUUCCAGGUUCGACUCCUGGCGUGGUCG
RNAcentral lists this transfer RNA (90 nucleotides) under Fusarium oxysporum NRRL 32931. It matches the Rfam family "tRNA". From Rfam's summary of the family: Transfer RNA (tRNA) molecules are approximately 80 nucleotides in length. The record is from Rfam by way of RNAcentral. Lineage: Eukaryota; Fungi; Ascomycota; Sordariomycetes; Hypocreales; Nectriaceae.